AGCGUACACGGUGGAUGCCCUGGCAGUCAGAGGCGAUGAAGGACGUGCUAAUCUGCGAUAAGCGUCGGUAAGGUGAUAUGAACCGUUAUAACCGGCGAUUUCCGAAUGGGGAAACCCAGUGUGUUUCGACACACUAUCAUUAACUGAAUCCAUAGGUUAAUGAGGCGAACCGGGGGAACUGAAACAUCUAAGUACCCCGAGGAAAAGAAAUCAACCGAGAUUCCCCCAGUAGCGGCGAGCGAACGGGGAGCAGCCCAGAGCCUGAAUCAGUGUGUGUGUUAGUGGAAGCGUCUGGAAAGGCGCGCGAUACAGGGUGACAGCCCCGUACACAAAAAUGCACAUGCUGUGAGCUCGAUGAGUAGGGCGGGACACGUGGUAUCCUGUCUGAAUAUGGGGGGACCAUCCUCCAAGGCUAAAUACUCCUGACUGACCGAUAGUGAACCAGUACCGUGAGGGAAAGGCGAAAAGAACCCCGGCGAGGGGAGUGAAAAAGAACCUGAAACCGUGUACGUACAAGCAGUGGGAGCACGCUUAGGCGUGUGACUGCGUACCUUUUGUAUAAUGGGUCAGCGACUUAUAUUCUGUAGCAAGGUUAACCGAAUAGGGGAGCCGAAGGGAAACCGAGUCUUAACUGGGCGUUAAGUUGCAGGGUAUAGACCCGAAACCCGGUGAUCUAGCCAUGGGCAGGUUGAAGGUUGGGUAACACUAACUGGAGGACCGAACCGACUAAUGUUGAAAAAUUAGCGGAUGACUUGUGGCUGGGGGUGAAAGGCCAAUCAAACCGGGAGAUAGCUGGUUCUCCCCGAAAGCUAUUUAGGUAGCGCCUCGUGAAUUCAUCUCCGGGGGUAGAGCACUGUUUCGGCAAGGGGGUCAUCCCGACUUACCAACCCGAUGCAAACUGCGAAUACCGGAGAAUGUUAUCACGGGAGACACACGGCGGGUGCUAACGUCCGUCGUGAAGAGGGAAACAACCCAGACCGCCAGCUAAGGUCCCAAAGUCAUGGUUAAGUGGGAAACGAUGUGGGAAGGCCCAGACAGCCAGGAUGUUGGCUUAGAAGCAGCCAUCAUUUAAAGAAAGCGUAAUAGCUCACUGGUCGAGUCGGCCUGCGCGGAAGAUGUAACGGGGCUAAACCAUGCACCGAAGCUGCGGCAGCGACGCUUAUGCGUUGUUGGGUAGGGGAGCGUUCUGUAAGCCUGUGAAGGUGUGCUGUGAGGCAUGCUGGAGGUAUCAGAAGUGCGAAUGCUGACAUAAGUAACGAUAAAGCGGGUGAAAAGCCCGCUCGCCGGAAGACCAAGGGUUCCUGUCCAACGUUAAUCGGGGCAGGGUGAGUCGACCCCUAAGGCGAGGCCGAAAGGCGUAGUCGAUGGGAAACAGGUUAAUAUUCCUGUACUUGGUGUUACUGCGAAGGGGGGACGGAGAAGGCUAUGUUGGCCGGGCGACGGUUGUCCCGGUUUAAGCGUGUAGGCUGGUUUUCCAGGCAAAUCCGGAAAAUCAAGGCUGAGGCGUGAUGACGAGGCACUACGGUGCUGAAGCAACAAAUGCCCUGCUUCCAGGAAAAGCCUCUAAGCAUCAGGUAACAUCAAAUCGUACCCCAAACCGACACAGGUGGUCAGGUAGAGAAUACCAAGGCGCUUGAGAGAACUCGGGUGAAGGAACUAGGCAAAAUGGUGCCGUAACUUCGGGAGAAGGCACGCUGAUACGUAGGUGAAGUCCCUCGCGGAUGGAGCUGAAAUCAGUCGAAGAUACCAGCUGGCUGCAACUGUUUAUUAAAAACACAGCACUGUGCAAACACGAAAGUGGACGUAUACGGUGUGACGCCUGCCCGGUGCCGGAAGGUUAAUUGAUGGGGUCAGCGCAAGCGAAGCUCUUGAUCGAAGCCCCGGUAAACGGCGGCCGUAACUAUAACGGUCCUAAGGUAGCGAAAUUCCUUGUCGGGUAAGUUCCGACCUGCACGAAUGGCGUAAUGAUGGCCAGGCUGUCUCCACCCGAGACUCAGUGAAAUUGAACUCGCUGUGAAGAUGCAGUGUACCCGCGGCAAGACGGAAAGACCCCGUGAACCUUUACUAUAGCUUGACACUGAACAUUGAGCCUUGAUGUGUAGGAUAGGUGGGAGGCUUUGAAGUGUGGACGCCAGUCUGCAUGGAGCCGACCUUGAAAUACCACCCUUUAAUGUUUGAUGUUCUAACGUUGACCCGUGAUCCGGGUUGCGGACAGUGUCUGGUGGGUAGUUUGACUGGGGCGGUCUCCUCCUAAAGAGUAACGGAGGAGCACGAAGGUUGGCUAAUCCUGGUCGGACAUCAGGAGGUUAGUGCAAUGGCAUAAGCCAGCUUGACUGCGAGCGUGACGGCGCGAGCAGGUGCGAAAGCAGGUCAUAGUGAUCCGGUGGUUCUGAAUGGAAGGGCCAUCGCUCAACGGAUAAAAGGUACUCCGGGGAUAACAGGCUGAUACCGCCCAAGAGUUCAUAUCGACGGCGGUGUUUGGCACCUCGAUGUCGGCUCAUCACAUCCUGGGGCUGAAGUAGGUCCCAAGGGUAUGGCUGUUCGCCAUUUAAAGUGGUACGCGAGCUGGGUUUAGAACGUCGUGAGACAGUUCGGUCCCUAUCUGCCGUGGGCGCUGGAGAACUGAGGGGGGCUGCUCCUAGUACGAGAGGACCGGAGUGGACGCAUCACUGGUGUUCGGGUUGUCAUGCCAAUGGCACUGCCCGGUAGCUAAAUGCGGAAGAGAUAAGUGCUGAAAGCAUCUAAGCACGAAACUUGCCCCGAGAUGAGUUCUCCCUGACUCCUUGA
This 2787-nucleotide ribosomal RNA is filed under the name Escherichia coli. RNAcentral describes it as "bacterial LSU rRNA". It matches the Rfam family "Bacterial large subunit ribosomal RNA". The record is from RNAcentral. Lineage: Bacteria; Pseudomonadati; Pseudomonadota; Gammaproteobacteria; Enterobacterales; Enterobacteriaceae.